Molecule: ribosomal RNA, 484 nt
Filed under: uncultured bacterium
Lineage: Bacteria
Description: partial 16S ribosomal RNA
Rfam family: Bacterial small subunit ribosomal RNA
Source: RNAcentral
AUUGAACGCUGGCGGCAGGCCUAACACAUGCAAGUCGAGCGGAUGAAGGGAGCUUGCUCCUGGAUUCAGCGGCGGACGGGUGAGUAAUGCCUAGGAAUCUGCCUGGUAGUGGGGGAUAACGUCCGGAAACGGGCGCUAAUACCGCAUACGUCCUGAGGGAGAAAGUGGGGGAUCUUCGGACCUCACGCUAUCAGAUGAGCCUAGGUCGGAUUAGCUAGUUGGUGGGGUAAAGGCCUACCAAGGCGACGAUCCGUAACUGGUCUGAGAGGAUGAUCAGUCACACUGGAACUGAGACACGGUCCAGACUCCUACGGGAGGCAGCAGUGGGGAAUAUUGGACAAUGGGCGAAAGCCUGAUCCAGCCACGCCGCGUGUGUGAAGAAGGUCUUCGGAUUGUAAAGCACUUUAAGUUGGGAGGAAGGGCAGUAGGUUAAUACCUUGCUGUUUUGACGUUACCAACAGAAUAAGCACCGGCUAACUUCGUG